Gallus gallus (chicken) is the source of this 386-nucleotide long non-coding RNA. NCBI's taxonomy places the organism in Eukaryota, Metazoa, Chordata, Aves, Galliformes, Phasianidae. The record is from Ensembl.
CUCUUUUCUUCACUGAGAAAAACAGAAUUGGAAGAAAAUUAUGGUUGCAAAACCUGAUUUUUGCCUCAGUUCCGGUCUUCAUACAGAACUAUCUGACAAUUAAUAUUUUUACUAAAGAAACGCGUCAGAAUUGGAGGAUAGUCAGGUAUUAUCCUGGACCACGUGAGGCAAUAUGGAACGGUACGUAGUGCUCCCUCAGUGCCUUAGGAUCGUGGCAGCGCGUAUUUCAAUAUAAAACACUAACAGUGCCACCAGGCAGUGCAUGUACUGCACUUUGUUAAGAUUUAAAUGAAUGCAUUGUUAGCACCAACUUCAGCAGGGAUUUUGUGUGAGCGAGUAAAGGCUUCAAGCCUUUAAUUGACUAAGGAAAUCUUUUUAGUUGUGAU